Molecule: long non-coding RNA, 1156 nt
Filed under: Equus asinus (donkey)
Lineage: Eukaryota; Metazoa; Chordata; Mammalia; Perissodactyla; Equidae
Description: lncRNA (ENSEASG00005037631.1)
Source: RNAcentral
GUUAAAUCCCAAUUCAGUACAUCCUAACAAGAUAAGGCUGACCAGUAAACUCAUCCUUUUAACCAGUAUUGCUGAAUUCCUAUUUCAGCAUAAACAACUGUGCUGAGCUCUGGGGACACACUGUUGAGCAGGACACUUAAGAAUCUCCUGGGAGGCAGAGCCACGUGAACCACCAAUGAGAAUACAAUGUGGUAAGUGUCACCACAGGUGCAGACUCUGAGAGCCACACAAGAACACAGAAGGCUUCUAACCCAGUCUUGGGUGUGUCGGGGAAGAUUUCAAGGACAGAAAAGAACGUUCCAGAAAGGCAGGAAAAAAAAGUCUUGUAGCAUCUUCCUAUUGAAUUGAUCCUAUGUUUAUGUUUCUUUUGGAAAUUUCCUUUCAUUUGACAUUAUGUCAUCGACCACUUCAAGGCUUUGAUGGAAUGACUCGAGGAAAAGGAAAAGGUCACAAUUACUAGAAAGAACCCAAAAGGACACGAGAGAUGAAAUAGUUGGAAGACUUCUGUAAUAAAUGUUUCCUUACAAGAGCAGAGAUCCGGGCGCCGUGUCUGGGUAAUGUCUGCUCAACACAGCAGAAGGAUAAGAGGAAAUCUUUGGGAUGCCGAUUUGCCAAAGUCUGAAGGAGGAACCAUCUGGAACCAGCGGCACUACAAAUCCCACGUUCCCCGAAGCCUCAAGGAUUUCCUCGUGGGUCUGGGGGGUUAAUCUGACAAAAUAGCAGUGGCUUUGGGACUCCCAGGGCACAGAGGUUGGGCCAAGGCCUCAUCCUUUCGUCCCUCCCUCCGGUGCACGCUGUCCACAGGCACAGCUCUCCACGUCAAGAGCCACGUACACAGGCGCGGACAGAUGCCAACAGAGUGUGAGCGGCCCCCAGGCUGCGGCCUCCCGAGCGGGGCAUCCCGACGCGGCCUGGUGCGUCCCCAAAAACUCCGCGGGACCCCGAGGCCCCCGUGCGGCGUUCCCCAAAGCACCUCGCGAUUCGCCCUGACGUCUUAAAACUCUCGAGGUUUUCCACGUCGCCGGCGAGCGCUGGGCUCGCCCGGGGCGAGCCCGGCGGGCGCGCACUUGGCAGCCUUCCAGCUGGCCCACCUCGGCGGGAGGAGGCGUUGGCGGGGCUGAGAAAGGCCAGUGCCUCCGCACCUCCAGGAUCCUCU